UCUACUUGGAUUAAGACACAAGGCAUCAGUAGCAACUACAGGAGAACGGAAUUAUAGAACAAAGACAUUUAGGAAGAUAGGCAAAGAUACUGGAUCAUUUAUAUUCCUGACCCAGCACUUAAAUACUGUAAAGAAGGCGAGAGGGAGAGGCUUGCUCCCACAGUUACUGGUGCGGCAAGGAAUUAUCAGAUUCCAGACAGUGAAAAAGGAAAGUGCUAUGUUCUCACCGGUCCUCCCAGAUCCAGAGCCUCAGGAAUCCACAUUCUGCAAGGUAGCAAGGGCCGUGGGUAAGAAAUCACCCUCCAGAGCCAGAUUGCCUUGGUUCAAAUCUCAGCUCUAUCACAAAUUGUGUGACUUUGGGUAAGUCACUUCAUCUCUUUCUGCCUCAGUUUCCUCAUCUAGAAAAUGGGGAUGAUAUUUGUAUCUUCGUCACAGGAGUGUUAUUGGGAUUGAUUACAUGUAGAGAGCUAAGAGCAGCGCUAGGCACGUAGUUGAUUUCUUUCCAGAGAAACCAGGGAGAUGAAUGAGAAAUGAAGGAAAGCUGUGGUGAUCCUCUCCACCCUCUCGCUUCCUCACCGGCUGGAAGAUGCUCCUGUCCAAAUGGGAAAUUGAAGCCAAAAUAGCACAAUAAAGGAAAGGAAGCACUCCUGGAGCAGAUGGGCUUCCACUUGCAUGCUGAGGAAUGUGCUGACUACUCAAGAAUGGGACUUUGGCAGUCACUUAACACAAUCAUGAAGCAAAGGGAAAUGAUUAAGUCUGUUACUAGGCUUGUCCUGAGUGCCCACUCUGUGUGAGCCAUUGGGCCAUGAGCCGUGGGGAAUGCUGAGAAGAAUGAGACAGCAUGGACCCUGGACCAGCAGCAUCAGCAUCAACUGGGAAAUUAUUAGAAGUGCAGAUUCUCGGGCUCCACACCAGACACCUUGACUCAGAGACCGAAGAAGUAGACCUACUCCUCUGUGGUUUAACACCUCCUCCAGGUGGUGCUGGGCAGCAGCACCUAUGCCAGCCGUGUCCAUGGAGAGGAGAGCAUGCAGUGGCUCCACUGGGUGCCAGCUAAGGACACCACCAAGGCCAAAGUCAGAGUCUCAAGCCACUGAGCCUACGUGAACAAAGUCAAGGCAACUGCAGUGUGGUGUAUGAGUCAGCGGCUUGGCUCUUCCCUUCUGUGUGCGUGUGUGGGGGUGGGGUGCCAAGGAGGUGGAUUCUGGAGGAGUAAGAGACUAAAAAAAAAUUGGAAAUGCGACCACUGAAAGACUAACAUUUGUAGGCCACACUGCUCAUGCCACCCUCCCCGCUGACAGAAGAGCAUUUGAAAUCCUAGCCAGGCCCAACCCUAUCCCACUUCUUAGUCUCUGUGGACUGGCUAAGGGCAGGAAUUUCACAGCUGAGGUGAGCUGGCGGUGUGGGGAAAAAGCAAAAGGGCUCUGGGGUCAGCAUUCAAAUGUGGGCAAGGGGCUCAUCUCCUUGAGCUUCACUUUCCUUGGCUCCAAAAAGAGAAUGGUAGCAUUAAGCUUAACCAUAUGAAAAUGCUAUUUUCUAGGUCAAAAAAAGAUCGACUACUGCUAAGUUCAUAUGGUUCAACCUAAUUGCACUUUCUUCUCAGGGUGAUUGUGCAAAUUAAAUAAGUUAAUAUGCAAAAGUAUAUAUACCAGUACCUGACAUAUAACAAGUGCCCAGUGAAAAAUAGUGCUGCUGCUGCUGCUGACAAUGGGUAUGCAACAUCUAACUGGCUGCAGAGGACCAUUGAUCCUAGCUUGACUUGCAAAUACAAGCCCUUGACAGGCUGAAAUAUGUCAGUGGUAUACUCUGGAAUUUAAAUGGACCCAUGACCAAAUAUUCCUUCUUUCUGGGAUGUCCAGGAGUGAAGGAUUUUGCUUAUAGGUCAUUCUUUAUGGUAAAAUCACUCUCCACUGAAUGCUCCUAUUAAAAAGGGAGAACAGUUUCAUUGACUGGCUGAUUGAUUGAUUGAUUAAUUGAUUCAUUCAUUUAUUCAGAAGCUUCUCUCAAGAGCCUUAGAUAUUGCCAGGCACUGUACUAGAUGUUAGGAUGAAGAAGGUAUGAUCCCUACCCUGGAGGAAUUUGCAAUUUAAUGUUGGAGAAAACCCCCAGACAGGUACCAGCAAUUAGGUUUUGACAACUGACAUAGCUAUAUAAGUAAGGUGUGUCUCAGACUUGUGAGUUCACUGGGAAGAGAUCGUCCUUCCUCCAGCCAUCCCAAUUGUGUUUGGUGGUCAGGCAAGGUUGCAUACAAAAAGUAACAUUUCAGAUGACUUUGAGUAAUAUGUAGGAAUUCCUUGCAUGGAGACAGUGCAUGCUCAAGCAAGGGAAACCUAAUAUGUAGAAGUGCAGUAUUGCAAAGAGGUGCAGGCAUUUUUAGAAAUUGAGUCACAGUUCAGUGUGGAGAAUGGGUGAGGAAGGGUGCGUCAGGGGCUGAGGCUCAAGCAGGUCAGGGCUGGGCUGGAUAUAUAUCAUAGAUGUGAUUCUGUAGGCAAUUGAGAACCAGCAACAAAGGUUUUCUAGAGUGUCCAGGUAGAAGGAAAUCUUUUUAUUUGGAGUGGGGCUGGGAAUUGUUCUUUACUUCAUUGAACAAGUAUAAUUUAUAUGCAAUAAACACGCCCACUAUAAGUGCAUAGUUCAAUGAAUUUUGAUAAAUGUGUAUACUCAUGUGCUAUGGUUUGACUAUGGGUUAUGUGUAUGCCCCUAAAGGUUGAUGUGUUGGAAGCCUGGGCCUCAGUGUGGCUGUGGUGGAGGGCCUAGUGGGAGGUCUGUGGGUCAAUUAAGGACAUGCCCUUGAAAGUGAUUAAGGUAGUUCUCAUGGGCUCGCUUGGGAGUUCUCCAUAGAGGGUUGUAAUGAAAGCCUGAGUCAGGCCCCACUAAGAUUCCUCCAGCUUCCUGUGUGGCAGUGUAAUCACUUGCCACCUGAGCUCCUGCCAUUAGCAUUCCCCACAAUGUGAUGCAGUUGAGAGGGCCCUCAUUGCAGCCGAACUAAUGUCAGUGCCACCCCCUCAAAACUU
Molecule: long non-coding RNA, 3014 nt
Organism: Chinchilla lanigera (long-tailed chinchilla)
Lineage: Eukaryota; Metazoa; Chordata; Mammalia; Rodentia; Chinchillidae
Exons: 5
Source: RefSeq, a predicted model, not a curated record